UCCUCCCUCCAUCUCGUUUCCCUCUUCUGCCAAACAAAUUCUUAUGUCACAAAGAUAUAUGAUCUCAAUGCAUAUAUUAAUACAUCUAUUGAUUUUCCUCUUGCCAGUCAUUAUCAAGAUUUAUUUAUCCUCACAGCUCUCCAUUGAUUGAGGAAAGCAGUAUUCCCAGUGGUCAAUCAAUCCUGAUAUACUCCAUGACAAGGAGUCAAUAUCUAUUUAUUAUUUGAUUUAUGGACCUAAUUAUCUUAAACAUGAUCAGGCAGGGGGCAAGGCCAAAGCUGAGCAGUGAUCAAGCAACUGGAGCCAGGUUGGGAAUACAUCAAACCAAAGUCUGGGGCCCAGCAAGUUUCUGAACAGUGCAGACACACUGAUUUUACCCUUCCCACUCUCACCACCCCAGCAUCUGCCGCUGGGGAAGGAGAGGGAAAGGGACAAGUGGCAGGGUUUCAAUUUGUGCCUGCUGCCAACUCAACAAGUCACAAGCCAGGCAGGUUUGGUGGUUUGGACAAUGAACCUGAUUUGGAGAGAUCACGACACCGUUGGAGAAUCAUCCAGUUAAUUUCCUUGUCUGUGAGCUCCAUGACGGGCAGACAUCAUGCCUUCCUCUCUCUAUUUCCAUCAUCAGGCACUGGACCCUAUACACACUAGAGGCAGAGGACUGUGCAGCUUAGAAGAAGGCAAAUCCAAAAGAAGGACAUGGUUUGGAUCCCCCCAUACGUGGAGAAAAGCCACCUACCAUCCAAAAACUUG
RNAcentral lists this long non-coding RNA (750 nucleotides) under Homo sapiens (human). RNAcentral's name for it is "HSALNT0370785". Lineage: Eukaryota; Metazoa; Chordata; Mammalia; Primates; Hominidae. The record is from RNAcentral.